AUACGGAGGGGGCUAGCGUUGUUCGGAAUUACUGGGCGUAAAGGGCGCGUAGGCGGAUUGUCAAGUCAGAGGUGAAAGCCCUGGGCUCAACCCGGGAACUGCCUUUGAAACUAACAGUCUUGAGUCCGAGAGAGGAUGGCGGAAUUCCCAGUGUAGAGGUGAAAUUCGUAGAUAUUGGGAAGAACACCAGUGGCGAAGGCGGCCAUCUGGCUCGGUACUGACGCUGAGGCGCGAAAGCGUGGGGAGCAAACAGGAUUAGAUACCCCAGUAGUCC
This 274-nucleotide ribosomal RNA is filed under the name uncultured bacterium. Its description in RNAcentral is "partial 16S ribosomal RNA". It matches the Rfam family "Bacterial small subunit ribosomal RNA", at positions 523 to 796 of the family's 1533-position model. The record is from RNAcentral.